UAGACUGCAUCUUAGUCUAUUUCCUGUUUUAUUUUGACAGCUUGUGUCCUGUGUUCAGUUUUGCUUCUUCCUGUGUCAUUAUGUCUUUUCAUCCCAGCUAUGUUACCCGUGUGUUUCCACUUCCCUCGUCAUACCGUUUCCCUUUCGUCAUUGGUGGGUACGUUCCAUGAUCCACCUUUCCUUUGUUAAAGUGUUUAUUGUUUUGUCAUGGUCCCUGUGUAUCUCAGGCCGGCCCCACGAGGCUACAUUUAUUUAUUGUAAUACUGCUCUCUCUCAUGCCUGGGCAGAUCUCACUGCGGGCCUCCACCUUUGGCCCACGCACCAAAGGUGCGUCUCCCUUUCGUUCACUUCCAUCUCAGCUGUGUUGUCUGCAUUUGGGUCCUCACUUAAAACAUAUGAUCUGCCGCCAGUAAUCAUGACACAGCUGGGAAAAGUUGGUUUAGUCAUUUUUGUUCAAAGCACAUCAUGUAAGCCAGCGGUCCCCAACCCCCAGGCCAUGGACCAGUACUGGAAGGGAUAACAGGACUAAUUACUGCCGUCAGCUGAUCCCAUGUGUAAAUAAUGCAGCUUUCCAUUUGUCCAAAAAAAAAAACCCAAAAAAAAAACAAGCAAAACAAAAAGGGUUACUUUCUUUUGUUUGACAUAUUCUCAUGAUGAAAAAUAACUGUAGUAACUGUAAGAAAAUAACUGUUUCCUAACAGUCAUGUUUAUGUGCGAUAAACACCCACUCAGUAGACAUAAUUCAGCUCCACACUCAUUAGUUGUGAUUUCCUGCCUGAGGAAACCAUUGCUGAGACAGCACACAUUUCCUGAAGUUGUGAUCAAGAACCGCUAAGAGGUCUCCAGAAACCACAGACCAUUGGAUGUAGGCCAUCGACUUUGCUCAAAGCCUGCUGGCAGAACUGAUCUGCAAAGUCUGCCAGCAGAGUCAUUUAGGGCCAAAUGACAAUUAAAUUCUCUAAAUUCUCUAUUCUCUCUCAUUACAAUUUUAAUGAAUAAAGUCGUACUGUAAAAGGGAUUUUGUUCUAAAAUUACCUCACUGUUGAAUAAAUACAUCAUUUUUGCCAUUAUUCACUAUCAUGCAGACCAAUGGAAAAGGUCUUUGAGAGACACAAAGGUGAGGUGGUAAAGUUGUUGUCUGGUGACAAGCUACUCCUCAGCUACACGCCAGGAUACAUCCCAAAUAGACCUAUCCAAGUAGUUUUAGUGACUAAAUGAUGUAGAACAAUGUAAAAACAAAAAACAACAAAAAAAAACGUAGACUAACAGAACGGCACACAAAAAACAAUACAGCAAGAGUAAAAUUCUCAUAAAAACCCACAUUAUCAACAGCAUUACUAAUUCUGCCAUAUGCAACUAAUUCAUCGACAGACAGGCCAGACUCUGUCAUGCUGAUAUAUGGGGCCAGCUUAAUGCAAUACAAAAUGUCCUCAUCAGAUACCUCGCAUCUCAUGACACGCCACAGUUCAUUAUUACUGUGUAAGGCACUGGGCCUGCUGGUAUCUCACAGUUUACUACACAGCAGCCAUCACUACAAUUUCCUUCACAGAGUAGCUCUGGGGAAAAUGUCAAUCAAAUUAGGAGGUAUCCACAAGCAAGGAAAUUCCAUAAUUCCAGUUGUUGUUGUUUUGAAUUACGUCUGUUCUCUAUUAUUAUUUUAACAUUUAAAAAAAACCCAUACUGUCUGUUUGUUAGCCACUAGUCAUCCACUUCAAGACUGGGUAUACAUGUUUAACUUCUCAUUAUCACCAAAACAGAAAUAACUAAUCAGGCCAUCACAGCAACUCAGCCCAUGUAUGCACAAGUGGUCAAGACCCAUAGUAUACCACUCCUCUCAGGUAAGAAAAGGAAUCUGAGCCUAUAAUUCACUUACCUAAAUUGGACAGUAAAAGAUUACAGAAACAUUGCCUGGGCUUGUUUUUUCCCCCCACAGAUGUGUGGGUGUUUUUUC
Molecule: long non-coding RNA, 1951 nt
Organism: Astatotilapia calliptera (eastern happy)
Lineage: Eukaryota; Metazoa; Chordata; Actinopteri; Cichliformes; Cichlidae
Source: Ensembl